Molecule: ribosomal RNA, 253 nt
Filed under: uncultured bacterium
Lineage: Bacteria
Description: partial 16S ribosomal RNA
Rfam family: Bacterial small subunit ribosomal RNA
Source: RNAcentral
UACGUAGGGACCAAGCGUUGUUCGGAUUUACUGGGCGUAAAGGGCUCGUAGGUGGCCAACUAAGUCAGACGUGAAAUCCCUCGGCUUAACCGGGGAACUGCGUCUGAUACUGGAUGGCUUGAGUUCGGGAGAGGGAUGCGGAAUUCCAGGUGUAGCGGUGAAAUGCGUAGAUAUCUGGAGGAACACCGGUGGCGAAGGCGGCAUCCUGGACCGACACUGACACUGAGGAGCGAAAGCCAGGGGAGCAAACGGG